UACAAAAUAUGAGACAAAGUCUUCAAAAAGUCUGCUAAGGUCAUUUAAAAUACAAUGUAAGAGGCUAGAUGCAGAGAAGUUCUCACUUGUAGCUAAAACCAGUCUAGACGGCACCUCCUAUAGUUUAACAGAUGUGGAGGGAAAUCCUUGAUCUUCCUGACCGCUUAAUGCUACUAUGCGUUGUUGUAAUUUUGACUGCUGUAUUAAAAUGUCCCACUAGUGUAUACGUGUGUUCUUGGUGACUUGAGAUCCAUGUUCUUUGGUCCAAACAAAUUCACCAACC
RNAcentral lists this long non-coding RNA (283 nucleotides) under Mytilus galloprovincialis (Mediterranean mussel). Lineage: Eukaryota; Metazoa; Mollusca; Bivalvia; Mytilida; Mytilidae. The record is from RNAcentral.